This 126-nucleotide small RNA is filed under the name Marmota monax (woodchuck). The record is from RNAcentral. Lineage: Eukaryota; Metazoa; Chordata; Mammalia; Rodentia; Sciuridae.
GCUGGGUGCAGUGUGCACACCUGUAAUCCCAGUAGCUUGGGAGGCUGAGACAGGAGGAUCUCGAGUUCAAAGCUAGCCUCAGCAACUUAGCAAGGCCCUAAACAAUUCAGUGAGACCCUGUCUCUA